GAAAAGCCUUCAGUUCAGCUGUGUAUGUUGUUUUUAAUGCACCAGUGGAAGAGCAGGCGUACCAGGGUCUAUGAGAGAUUUCUGCUUGGUCUUUGAAGGGCAGAAGAAUAUUAAGUAAGGUAUACCUGCAAAGAUGUUGCUAGGACUAUCAAGCAAUGGCAGGCAAUAGGCUGGGAUGCAUCUCCGUUGCUUUAUGUGAGGAUCAGAGCUACCGUGUUCCCAGAUGUGUCUUCUGCUGCCAGUGAGGUCUCUCCAGCCCAUCAUUCCAGCAGCAAUUUUGAAUUUCUCCUGGCUGCUUCCUAUUCUACUGAAUUUUCUCUGCCUAAAUCCCGGAAAAAGUUGUGGGAGAAAUCUGUACUGGCUAGGUCAUAGCAGAGCAGAAGCCCUCUAGACAAAAGAAGUAAAGGAAAUCUUGCAGUUAAGUUCAAAUAUUGAAAAAGAGAUUGUGUAUAAAUUUUUGCUUUCAUGUCCACUUCUGAAUGUUCUGGGAAGGUAAGAACUGCUUGUGCAAGAAUGUCUCCUGCUGGUGCUAGUACCUUAAGAUUUUG
This 548-nucleotide long non-coding RNA is filed under the name Anas platyrhynchos platyrhynchos (common mallard). Its description in RNAcentral is "lncRNA (ENSAPLG00000017620.1)". The record is from RNAcentral. Lineage: Eukaryota; Metazoa; Chordata; Aves; Anseriformes; Anatidae.